GAUGAACGCUGGCGGCGUGCCUAAUACAUGCCAGUCGAGCGAACAGACGAGGAGCUUGCUCCUCUGACGUUAGCGGCGGACGGGUGCGUAACACGUGGAUAACCUACCUAUAAGACUGGGAUAACUUCGGGAAACCGGAGCUAAUACCGGAUAAUAUAUUGAACCGCAUGGUUCAAUAGUGAAAGACGGUUUUGCUGUCACUUAUAGAUGGAUCCGCGCCGCAUUAGCUAGUUGGUAAGGUAACGGCUUACCAAGGCAACGAUGCGUAGCCGACCUGAGAGGGUGAUCGGCCACACUGGAACUGAGAAACGGUCCAGACUCCUACGGGAGGCAGCAGUAGGGAAUCUUCCGCAAUGGAGGAAAGCCUGACGGAGCAACGCCGCGUGAGGGAUGAAGGUCUUCGGAUCGUAAAGCUCUGUUAUUAGGGAAGAACAAAUGUGUAAGUAACUAUGCACGUCUUGACGGUACCGAAUCAGAAAGCCACGGCUAACUACGUG
RNAcentral lists this ribosomal RNA (497 nucleotides) under uncultured bacterium. RNAcentral's name for it is "partial 16S ribosomal RNA". It matches the Rfam family "Bacterial small subunit ribosomal RNA", at positions 28 to 507 of the family's 1533-position model. The record is from RNAcentral.